RNAcentral lists this long non-coding RNA (1775 nucleotides) under Equus caballus (horse). RNAcentral's name for it is "lncRNA (ENSECAG00000041018.2)". Lineage: Eukaryota; Metazoa; Chordata; Mammalia; Perissodactyla; Equidae. The record is from RNAcentral.
GUAUAGCCAAGAUAAUCACAGAAAUAAUGUAGUUCAGGAGACAACAAUCUUUUAAAAUUUUAAUGAUAAAAAAAGGCUCUUCUGGCUGGGGUAAGGUACGGGGGAGGUCUGAAGUGGUGGUAGGUGUGUAGGGAGAGGAGUGGGAUGAACCAUCAGGACUGGGGUCUCAUCUCAGUGUUUUGGAGCAUCAACUUCAUAAACACUGUGAACUGUGGCCCACCAUGGACUGUCAACCAUGUCCUGCAGACUACAGAAAACAAGCCAGUCAAGGAACCCAUGGUCUUAUGCUAACAUUCUCCAAGAUUACAAGUAUGAGAGGGAAGGUGACUUUGUAUUGCCCUUGAAGUAAAAAGUGAUGUCAUAAUAUGAUUCUCACUCCUAUAACAAUCUAACUUGGAAUAUCAAACAAAACCUUAAGUACUGUUUCAGUCAAGGUCCAGUCAGGAGAGAGAAAUCACACGGACCUUUGCACCUGCUGUUCCUUAUGCCUGGACCUCUGCAUUGCUGGCUUCUUCCAGCCUCUGCCCAUAUGUUACCCACCCAAAUAGGCCUUUAUUGGCCACUCCAGUUUUGCUGCCCUUUAUACAGAUGCUUACAAGGAACAACUUUAUAAGCAUAUUAAAGGGACUUUCCUUGAGUGGGUGGAACUCAGAUGAUUAGUGCAAUCGUGAUUCUGGUGUGCAGAAAGAGAAUAUGUUAUCUCCCCUGCAUCUUGGGAACUGUGGAUCCUUCAUCAGUGACCUGGAAUGGUUGCUAAGUGUGAUGCAGAAUGGGUUUCAAACCUAGUGAAGCUUGCACUAUUCAUCAGUUUUGGAAUACACUGAAGAAAGAUAAGAAGUGCAUUUUCUCUCAAACUGAGUCUGAAACUAUUCCUUAUAAUGGUACAGCCUUGGCCAGAAUCUGCCAAAGAAGAAAUGGUCAGUAAUUUCCUAUUUUAUCUGCAAGGUGAAGAGCAGAUUAAGGGACCUGAUGUUCAUUUUAGAAACCCAGAAAUUUAUUUUUAAAAAAUUUCCCAUUUUAUCAAAUGAAAAGUGCUCAACCAACUGGACUUCAAAUUUAAGAUGAGAGACGGCACAAAAGAAGAAUGCGCGUUCUAUAUGCACGAUUCUUUGCAGCCCUCUGACGAAGUACCUCAAAAGCUAAGCUCCCAUCAAUCCUGGAGAGAUAGGAUCGGCAGAGCACAGUGGUGGGAUGAAUGUUUUAAAAGGAACAGCAGCGACCAAAGAACUUUUUUAUGCAGAGAAAUCCCAAAUCUGGGGCAAAGACCUCCUGUUCAUUUUAUCUCACAAAAGUUUGAAGAAGGAGAAAUUUAAACAAUUGCCUGAGACACAGGGAUGGGAACCACUUGCAAGUAUGGAAGAACCCCGUUGGUAGGCCUGGACUGUUAACUGGAUGAGAAGUAAACUUCUAGCUUGUUAAGCAAGGAAACAAACAAGAAAAACAUAAAUAAAGUUGCAAGUACUGUCUGUUCCUUAAGGAAUAUAUUAGUUCUCUAUUGCUCAUAACCAAUUACACCAAAAUGUAAUAGCUGAAAUCUACAAACGGGUAUUAUCUCAGAAUUUCUUUGAAUCAGGAAUUUCAAGAGCAGCUUAACUGGGUACCUUUCACUCAAGAUCUCUCAGGAGGGUGCAGUCAAGCUGUUCGCUGGGGCUGCAGUUAUCUCAAGACUCAACUGAGGCUGUUGGCUCGAGAGUCUCAGUUCCUCUUGUGCUGUUGGACAGAAGGCCUGAGCUCCUCAUCACACCAUGUGGUUCUAUCUGUAGGGCUGCUCACAG